AUGACUCUUAGUCUACCGCCCCCACCCCCCCAUCAUCCCUACUUCCCCUUCUUGUAACUGGGAUUGGAGCCGCCACCUUCAGGGGGUCCCCAGUGCUGAGAUUGAGUGGAAGCUGUAUUGGGGAUCCGGGGAAGGGAGUCUGCGGAAUUUGGGCUCCUCUGGUUCAGUCAGGGAGGGCGGGUCUUGUGAAGUUUCAGCUUCAGGUCUCUCCGCCUUUGGCUUUGCGCUUCUUCGGGCGCUCUGCUUGUGACUUUGCACCCCGCUUUUCUGCUGUGUUGGGCUCAGCUGUGGGGGCAAGGGGAUUUGGGGGCGACCAGAAGUGGGGUUCCUGCAUUCAAUUGAAACCCCGACUCCAACCUCUUCAACGGAGCUCUGAGGUGGCUAGUGGGGCUGUCUGAGCCCCAGGGUGGGGUAGACCUGGGGUCACCAGUACCCUCUACCCCUCGAACUCGCUGGUAUUGUCCCCUGCCAUCGCAGGUGAGGGGUGCAGAGGGAGGAGCAGGGCCUGGGGACGAUGGCUGGGGACUGGAGGUGCUGUGGAACUCACUUCCUCUUCUUGCUCCUCCAGGCUUCUGUGUCAAUCUGGGAUGAGGAGGAGGAUGGUGCGACCUUUACUGUCACAAGCCGCCAGUAUAGGCCUCUUGAUCCCUCGGCCCCCUUGCCUCCGCCUCGCUCCUCCCGAAGGCUCCGUGCUGGUACUCUGGAGGCCCUGGUCAGACACCUCUUGGAUGCCAGGACAUCAGGGGCUGACAUGACGUUCACUCCAGCCUUGCUGGCCACCCACCGGGCCUUCACCUCCACUCCUGCCCUGUUUGGGCUUGUGGCUGACAGGCUGGAAGCCCUCGAAUCGCAUCCUCCGGGCGAGCUAGAGA
RNAcentral lists this long non-coding RNA (872 nucleotides) under Rattus norvegicus (Norway rat). Its description in RNAcentral is "long non-coding RNA NONRATT017586". Lineage: Eukaryota; Metazoa; Chordata; Mammalia; Rodentia; Muridae. The record is from RNAcentral.